RNAcentral lists this ribosomal RNA (460 nucleotides) under uncultured bacterium. Its description in RNAcentral is "partial 16S ribosomal RNA". It matches the Rfam family "Bacterial small subunit ribosomal RNA", at positions 338 to 795 of the family's 1533-position model. The record is from RNAcentral.
CCUACGGGAGGCAGCAGUGAGGAAUAUUGGUCAAUGGGCGUAAGCCUGAACCAGCCAAGUCGCGUGAGGGAUGAAGGUUCUAUGGAUCGUAAACCUCUUUUAUAAGGGAAUAAAGUGCGGGACGUGUCCCGGUUUGUAUGUACCUUAUGAAUAAGGAUCGGCUAACUCCGUGCCAGCAGCCGCGGUAAUACGGAGGAUACGAUCGUUAUCCGGGUUUCUUGGGUUUAAAGGGUGCGUAGGGCGCCUUUUAAGUCAGCGGUGAAAGUCUGUGGCUCAACCAUAGAAUUGCCGUUGAAACUGGGAGGCUUGAGUAUGUUUGAGGCAGGCGGAAUGCGUGGUGUAGCGGUGAAAUGCUUAGAGAUCACGCAGAACCCCGAUUGCGAAGGCAGCCUGCCAAGCCAUGACUGACGCUGAUGCACGAAAGCGUGGGGAUCAAACAGGAUUAGAUACCCCAGUAGUC